Molecule: ribosomal RNA, 467 nt
Filed under: uncultured bacterium
Lineage: Bacteria
Description: partial 16S ribosomal RNA
Rfam family: Bacterial small subunit ribosomal RNA
Source: RNAcentral
ACGAACGCUGGCGGCGUGCUUAACACAUGCCAGUCGAACGGAAAGGCCCUGCUUUUGUGGGGUGCUCGAGUGGCGAACGGGUGAGUAACACGUGAGUAACCUGCCCUUGACUUUGGGAUAACUUCAGGAAACUGGGGCUAAUACCGGAUAGGAGCUCCUGCUGCAUGGUGGGGAUUGGAAAGUUUCGGCGGUUGGGGAUGGACUCGCGGCUUAUCAGCUUGUUGGUGGGGUAGUGGCUUACCAAGGCUUUGACGGGUAGCCGGCCUGAGAGGGUGACCGGCCACAUUGGGACUGAGAUACGGCCCAGACUCCUACGGGAGGCAGCAGUGGGGAAUAUUGCACAAUGGGCGGAAGCCUGAUGCAGCAACGCCGCGUGCGGGAUGACGGCCUUCGGGUUGUAAACCGCUUUCGCCUGUGACGAAGCGUGAGUGACGGUAAUGGGUAAAGAAGCACCGGCUAACUACGUG